Long non-coding RNA from Fundulus heteroclitus (mummichog), 841 nucleotides. RefSeq lists it as uncharacterized. The record is from RefSeq and is a predicted model, not a curated record. The transcript has 2 exons. Lineage: Eukaryota; Metazoa; Chordata; Actinopteri; Cyprinodontiformes; Fundulidae.
ACCACCGAAGCGACCGUAUUUUUUAAAUUUUGACAAAAGACCGACUGAAGACCAACGAUGCCAGAAAAGUGGCUGGGCUACGAAGUUACAUUAAAAACUCCAAGGUGAUAAAGAGGAGAGCAGAAAGAUGACAGCCACUGUGAUGCAGAGGCUGACCGGACCGCUCCACAAUCAAUCACCUAUGAAUAAAAAUGCUGUUACUACAGGCACUGAUGAUCACAUCUAUGAGAAAAGAAGUAGAAGGAUGUAUGUGGCUGGCUUCCAGGAGUAUCUUGGUUCUGGCGAUGAAGUAACGGCAGACAGAGGCUUUACCAUCAGAGAUCUGCUUGAGAGGCGAUUUAACCUUGUUCUACCAGCAUUCACUCAUAAAAGGAGGACGGUUGUCUGAUGAGGAUGUAACUGCCACAAGGAUUGCAGAUGUCCACAUACAUGUGGAAAGAGUUAUCAGGAGGCUCAAAGUUUUCACAAUAAUCUCCCAGACUGUAACCAUCAGCUUCAAUAUAAAAUGGACAAAAUCUUUCGAAUCUGUGCAGCUCCUGUGAACACGCAGGGGGAAUCAUCCACAAGGAUGUUGAUUGAGCGGAGAAGUUUACAUGUCAAAAAGAUCCUGAUUAGUUAUAUUCUACUGCAAAUCAGUGGAAUUAAAAUACACUAGAAUGUGUUUUGGAUCUGUGCUUUUAAAUAUUUCUUUGUUUAGCACCUUCAGGUUUUACAUUUUGGAAUAAAUUUUUCAUUUUUAAUAACUUAAGUAUUGUAUAUCCUUAUUUUCAGACUAUUCAGAUGUUUACAUAUACAAAAAUUGUGUCCAACUAAAAUGUGUACAAUUAAAUUUCACUAUCAA